Molecule: ribosomal RNA, 495 nt
Filed under: uncultured bacterium
Lineage: Bacteria
Description: partial 16S ribosomal RNA
Rfam family: Bacterial small subunit ribosomal RNA
Source: RNAcentral
GACGAACGCUGGCGGCGUGCCUAAUACAUGCAAGUAGAACGCUGAAGGAGGAGCUUGCUUCUCUGGAUGAGUUGCGAACGGGUGAGUAACGCGUAGGUAACCUGCCUGGUAGCGGGGGAUAACUAUUGGAAACGAUAGCUAAUACCGCAUAAGAGUAGAUGUUGCAUGACAUUUGCUUAAAAGGUGCAAUUGCAUCACUACCAGAUGGACCUGCGUUGUAUUAGCUAGUUGGUGGGGUAACGGCUCACCAAGGCGACGAUACAUAGCCGACCUGAGAGGGUGAUCGGCCACAAUGGGACUGAGACACGGCCCAGACUCCUACGGGAGGCAGCAGGAGGGAAUCUUCGGCAAUGGACGGAAGUCUGACCGAGCAACGCCGCGUGAGUGAAGAAGGUUUUCGGAUCGUAAAGCUCUGUUGUAAGAGAAGAAAGAGGGUGAGAGUGGAAAGUUCACACUGUGACGGUAUCUUACCAGAAAGGGACGGCUAACUACGUG